This 466-nucleotide ribosomal RNA is filed under the name uncultured bacterium. Its description in RNAcentral is "partial 16S ribosomal RNA". It matches the Rfam family "Bacterial small subunit ribosomal RNA", at positions 28 to 507 of the family's 1533-position model. The record is from RNAcentral.
GACGAACGCUGGCGGCGUGCUUAACACAUGCAAGUCGAACGGAAAGGCCCUGCUUGCAGGGUACUCGAGUGGCGAACGGGUGAGUAACACGUGGGUGAUCUGCCCUGCACUUCGGGAUAAGCUUGGGAAACUGGGUCUAAUACCGGAUAGGAGCCAUCUUUAGUGUGGUGGUUGGAAAGUUUUUUCGGUGUAGGAUGAGCUCGCGGCCUAUCAGCUUGUUGGUGGGGUAAUGGCCUACCAAGGCGGCGACGGGUAGCCGGCCUGAGAGGGUGUACGGCCACAUUGGGACUGAGAUACGGCCCAGACUCCUACGGGAGGCAGCAGUGGGGAAUAUUGCACAAUGGGCGCAAGCCUGAUGCAGCGACGCCGCGUGGGGGAUGAAGGCCUUCGGGUUGUAAACUCCUUUCGCUAGGGACGAAGCUUUUUUGUGACGGUACCCAGAUAAGAAGCACCGGCUAACUACGUG